This 253-nucleotide ribosomal RNA is filed under the name uncultured bacterium. Its description in RNAcentral is "partial 16S ribosomal RNA". It matches the Rfam family "Bacterial small subunit ribosomal RNA", at positions 524 to 776 of the family's 1533-position model. The record is from RNAcentral.
UACGUAGGGUGCGAGCGUUGUCCGGAUUUAUUGGGCGUAAAGAGCUCGUAGGCGGUUUGUCGCGUCGGCCGUGAAAUCUCCACGCUUAACGUGGAGCGUGCGGUCGAUACGGGCAGACUUGAGUUCGGUAGGGGAGACUGGAAUUCCUGGUGUAGCGGUGAAAUGCGCAGAUAUCAGGAGGAACACCGGUGGCGAAGGCGGCAUCCUGGACCGGUAUUGACGCUGAGGCGCGAAAGCUAGGGGAGCAAACGGG